Molecule: long non-coding RNA, 1427 nt
Organism: Salvia splendens (bonfire salvia)
Lineage: Eukaryota; Viridiplantae; Streptophyta; Magnoliopsida; Lamiales; Lamiaceae
Exons: 4
Source: RefSeq, a predicted model, not a curated record
UCGCUAAGGAAUUGGCCGAGCUUAGAGUUCGGGGUUGACCAAAUGGACACAUCUAGAAGAGAGGAUCCGGCUCCACCGUUCUCCAUUAUUGCGGUCACCAAACCCGACGCUCCUCCCGCUCUUGUGGAAGAUGUAAACUACGUGCAACAAGGAGGCAGUCCCAAUAGGGGUUACAACAACAAUUAUUGCCCUAACCAGAGGGAUUUAAUGUGAGCAAAGGUGGAGUAGUUGAGCCUAUCAAGAAGGAUGAGAAGUAUGACCAAAGAAUUAUGAAGAUUUUUGGAAGUGCUAGUACAAGAUAGGAAAGCCAACGAUACCAAGAUAGGAGUCGCUGAAGCAAGGUUGAACAACCUCGAGGCCGGAAUAACCACAAUUGACACUGCCAUUUCGAACAUAAAGAAACAAAUGGACCAAGUCCAACAAAAAAUUGAGGAAGACAAGCCAAAGGCAGCAGCACGAGUGGCAGACAUAAACAAGAAGUGAGUCGCCAAGCAGAAUAAGGACGUAGGCAGCACCUCCGGAAAGAAAACUAGGGACUGCCCGACAUCCAGCGGACUGCCGCACACUGAGCAGCGGGCUGCCACUGGGGCACAGUUCGGAUUCUGCCCGACACCUAGCGGACAGCCGCACACCACGCAGUGGCCCGCCACUAAAGAGGUAGAGGCGCCCGCCAAGAAAGACCUCGUGCAGCACAACGGGAUUGUACUCCCCUUCCAGACGAAGAAGAAGUUCUAGCUUGAAGAGAAAUACCUAGGUACGUGAAGCUACUAAGGGAGGCUGUGAUGAGAAAGAAAAAGCCUACAAAAGCCGACCUUAUGUUGUCUCACCAUUGCAGCGAGAUCAUCCAAAGGGAGAUGGCAGUGAAGCAAAGAGAUCCCAGCCAGUUCAUUACUAGGAAAAGUCUAAGAGGAAGAAGAAAGACAAGAACAUGUCCCAAACUCUAGCCGAUCCCAAAGUCUAUGUGCUCAAGAACUCGAACGGAAAAUACAAAUGGUGGAGAAACAUUUGGAACAAAAUGGUCCCUUCGUGGUUUUCAGCACUAGAGUCGUUCAUCCGUCCACUUAGUUAGGCCACUUCAAGUCGAACCAACGACCUUAAAACAAAUGCGCUUGUUGGGAGGCAAACCAAUUUGUUUUUAUUUCCUUCGUUUUGUUUUUUUGUUUUUCUUGUUAAUUUUCUGUGCACACAUAAAAAAAAUUAACUCGUAGCGGCCGCUGCACAAUUGCACACAUGUGCAGGAGCAGGUCGGGCCUUAGGGCGGACUGAGUGGUCACUGUGCGGGCUGCAGCGGUCCGUUGGAGAUGCGCCGCUUUUGUAACACGUGCAGUGGUCGUUGCACGUCGCGCAGUGGUCGCCACGCAAAGGUCAGAAUCGCGAAUUCACAUAUAAAACAUCUUCUUCUUUCCACCAUCUUCUCCAUUUCUCCC